RNAcentral lists this ribosomal RNA (643 nucleotides) under uncultured archaeon. RNAcentral's name for it is "bacterial SSU rRNA". It matches the Rfam family "Archaeal small subunit ribosomal RNA", at positions 215 to 815 of the family's 1478-position model. The record is from RNAcentral.
CUGCGGCUUAUCAGGUUGUAGUGAGGGUAACGUCCUCACUAGCCUAUGACGGGUACGGGCCCUGAGAGGGGAAGCCCGGAGAUGGACUCUGAGACACGAGUCCAGGCCCUACGGGGCGCAGCAGGCGCGAAAACUCCGCAAUGCUCGAAAGAGUGACGGGGGGAUUCCAAGUGCCUACGCUCAGCGUAGGCUGUUCAGAUGCCUAAAAAGCAUCUGGAGUAAGGGCUGGGUAAGACGGGUGCCAUCUGUGGCAGCAGCCGAAAAUUUGGCUUGCUACUGCAAGGCAUAAGCCGCCGCGGUAAUACCCGCAGCUCGAGUGGUAGUCGAUUUUAUUGGGCCUAAAGCGUCCGUAUCCGGUCUGGUAAAUGCUUGGGUAAAUCGUCUGGCUUAACCAGACGAAUUCCGGGUAGACUAUCAGACUUGGGACCGGUUGAGGAAGAGGGUACUUCAGGGGUAGGAGUGAAAUCCUGUAAUCCUUGAAGGACCACCAGUGGCGAAGGCGCUCUUCUAGGACGGGUCCGACGGUGAGGGACGAAAGCCAGGGGAGCAAACCGGAUUAGAUACCCGGGUAGUCCUGGCCGUAAACGAUGUGGGCUUGGCAUUGGGGGUUCUACGUGAGCGCCCAGUGUCGUAGCGAAGGCGU